Molecule: ribosomal RNA, 464 nt
Filed under: uncultured bacterium
Lineage: Bacteria
Description: partial 16S ribosomal RNA
Rfam family: Bacterial small subunit ribosomal RNA
Source: RNAcentral
GACGAACGCUGGCGGCGUGCUUAACACAUGCAAGUCGAACGGAAAGGCCCAGCUUGCUGGGUGCUCGAGUGGCGAACGGGUGAGUAACACGUGGGUGAUCUGCCUCUAACUUCGGGAUAAGCUUGGGAAACUGGGUCUAAUACCGGAUAGGACAAUCGUUUAGUGUCGGUUGUGGAAAGUUUUUUCGGUUAGGGAUGAGCCCGCGGCCUAUCAGCUUGUUGGUGGGGUAAUGGCCUACCAAGGCGUCGACGGGUAGCCGGCCUGAGAGGGUGGACGGCCACAUUGGGACUAAGAGACGGCCCAGACGCCUACGGGAGGCAGCAGGGGGGAAUAUUGCACAAUGGGCGCAAGCCUGAUGCAGCGACGCCGCGUGGGGGAUGACGGCCUUCGGGUUGUAAACCUCUUUCGACAGGGACGAAGCUUUGGUGACGGUACCUGUAUAAGAAGCACCGGCUAACUACGUG